AAUGAACGCUGGCGGCGUGCUUAACACAUGCAAGUCGUGCGCGAAAGCGGCUUCGGCCGCGUGUAGAGCGGCGAACGGGUGAGUAACACGUGGACAACCUGCCCAAGAGUGGGGAUAACCUGGGGAAACUCGGGCUAAUACCGCAUACGUUCGUGGGGCUUCGGCCCUGCGCAGAAAGGUGGCCUAUGCUUGCAAGCCACCGCUCCUGGAGGGGUCCGCGUCUGAUUAGCUAGUUGGCGGGGUAAUGGCCCACCAAGGCGACGAUCAGUAGCCGGCCUGAGAGGGUGAUCGGCCACACUGGAACUGAGACACGGUCCAGACUCCUACGGGAGGCAGCAGUGGGGAAUAUUGGACAAUGGGGGAAACCCUGAUCCAGCAACGCCGCGUGGAGGAUGAAGGUCUUCGGAUUGUAAACUCCUGUUA
Molecule: ribosomal RNA, 423 nt
Filed under: uncultured bacterium
Lineage: Bacteria
Description: bacterial SSU rRNA
Rfam family: Bacterial small subunit ribosomal RNA
Source: RNAcentral